This 120-nucleotide ribosomal RNA is filed under the name uncultured bacterium. RNAcentral describes it as "partial 16S ribosomal RNA". It matches the Rfam family "Bacterial small subunit ribosomal RNA", at positions 215 to 334 of the family's 1533-position model. The record is from RNAcentral.
GCGCUGAUAGAUGAGCCCAAGUCGGAUUAGCUAGUUGGUAGGGUAAUGGCCUACCAAGGCUACGAUCCGUAACUGGUCUGAGAGGACGACCAGUCACACCGGAACUGAGACACGGUCCGG